RNAcentral lists this ribosomal RNA (1366 nucleotides) under Clostridiales bacterium VE202-29. RNAcentral's name for it is "bacterial LSU rRNA". It matches the Rfam family "Bacterial large subunit ribosomal RNA", at positions 1326 to 2714 of the family's 2925-position model. Lineage: Bacteria; Bacillati; Bacillota; Clostridia; Eubacteriales. The record is from RNAcentral.
AAUCCUCCAGGCCGAAUAUCUAAGGUUUCCAGGGUAAAGCUGAUCUGCCCUGGGUAAGUCGGGGCCUAAGGCGAGGUCGAAAGACGUAGCCGAUGGACAACAGGUUGAGAUUCCUGUACUAUCAUAUGACAGAACUGUGGGGACACAGAGGGAAAGCCUGAGCCGGGAAAGGGAAACCCGGUGCAAGCGAAGUAGGAGCUGGACUGGCAAAUCCGUCCAGCAAUCCGAAGGCGUGACGCGUACCGAAUUCAAGUAGGGAAGCAGGUGAGCCAGCUGUCGAGAAAAGCCGCUAUUGUUCAUAUGAUACCCGUACCGUAAACCGACACAGGUGGAUGAGGAGAGAAUCCUAAGGCCGGCGGGAGAAGCAUUGUUAAGGAACUCGGCAAAAUGACCCCGUAACUUCGGGAGAAGGGGUGCCUCUGAAAGGAGGCCGCAGAGAAUAGGCUCAAGCAACUGUUUAGCAAAAACACAGGUCUAUGCGAAACCGAAAGGUGAGGUAUAUGGGCUGACGCCUGCCCGGUGCUGGAAGGUUAAGAGGAGGAGUCAGGCAACGAAGCUCCGAAUUUAAGCCCCAGUAAACGGCGGCCGUAACUAUAACGGUCCUAAGGUAGCGAAAUUCCUUGUCGGGUAAGUUCCGACCCGCACGAAAGGCGUAAUGAUUUGAGCGCUGUCUCGACAAUGCACCCGGUGAAAUUGAAGUACCAGUGAAGAUGCUGGUUACCUGCGCCAGGACGGAAAGACCCCAUGGAGCUUUACUCCAGCUUGAUACUGGGAUUCGAUGCUGUAUGUACAGGAUAGGUGGGAGACUGAGAAGUGAUUACGCCAGUAAUCAUGGAGUCACUGUUGGGAUACCACUCUUGCAGCAUUGGGUUUCUAACCUGCGCCCGUGACCCGGGCGGGGGACAAUGUCUGGCGGGGAGUUUGACUGGGGCGGUCGCCUCCGAAAGGGUAUCGGAGGCGCUCAAAGGUUCCCUCAGGAUGGUUGGAAACCAUCCGAAGAGUGCAAAGGCAUAAGGGAGCUUGACUGUGACACCGACGGGUGGAGCAGGUACGAAAGUAGGACUUAGUGAUCCGGUGGUAUUAAGUGGGAAUGCCAUCGCUCAACGGAUAAAAGCUACCCUGGGGAUAACAGGCUUAUCACUCCCAAGAGUUCACAUCGACGGAGUGGUUUGGCACCUCGAUGUCGGCUCAUCGCAUCCUGGGGCUGUAGCAGGUCCCAAGGGUUGGGCUGUUCGCCCAUUAAAGCGGUACGCGAGCUGGGUUCAGAACGUCGUGAGACAGUUCGGUCCCUAUCCGGCGCAGGCGGAGGAUAUUUGAGAGGAGCUGUCCUUAGUACGAGAGGACCGGGAUGGACGGACCGCUGGUG